This 281-nucleotide ribosomal RNA is filed under the name uncultured bacterium. RNAcentral describes it as "partial 16S ribosomal RNA". It matches the Rfam family "Bacterial small subunit ribosomal RNA", at positions 335 to 632 of the family's 1533-position model. The record is from RNAcentral.
UCUCCUACGGGACGCAGCAGUGGAGGAUAUUGCACAAUGGGCGCAAGCCUGAUGCAGCGACGCCGCGUGAGCGAAGAAGUAUUUCGGUAUGUAAAGCCCUAUCGGCAGGGAAGAAGCAAGACGGUACCUGACUAAGAAGCCCCGGCUAACUACGUGCCAGCAGCCGCGGUAAUACGUAGGGGGCGAGCGUUAUCCGGAUUCACUGGGUGUAAAGGGAGCGUAGACGGCCAAGCAAGCCAGGGGUGAAAGCCCGGGGCCCAACCCCGGGCCUGCCCCUGGAA